AUGGCAAAACAGAAACAAAGCUAUUAUUGAGGGUCGUUAUUGUGCACAAGAUGUGAUUUUUAACAGAGCCCAUCACUUGGCUGGUGAAUAUGGAAGUCUUGUAGAAGGGGAACCUAAAUUAUUUGUAGAGAAACCAACUAAAUGGUCUCCUCCUCCAGCUGGUAAAUAUAAACUAAAUGUUGAUGCUGCUUUUAUUCCCGAAACAGGUGUGGGUGGAAUUGGCGCUGUUGUUAGAAAUGACAAAGGGGAAGUGAUGGCGGCUAUGGCCCUUCCUCUUGCCAGAGCCACCUCAUCUAAACAUGCGGAGAUCAUGGUGUUUCUUUUCGGGAUGAAAUUUGCUUGGGAUGCUGGUUUUCUUCCAUUUUAAUUGAAUCUGAUUCACAAGGGGUGGUAAAUGAUGUAAAGAAGGACGAAGAAGAGUCUUGGGCAUCAGAUGGGCAUCUUAUUGAUGAUAUUAAGAGGAGUCUGCAACACUUUGAAGAUGUUAUUAUCUCUUUUAGUCCAAGAGGGGUUAACCAAGUAGUGCAUUUUCUAGCAAAGCAUGCUCUUAAUUGUAAUACUAUGGUAACUUGGAUUGAAGAGGUUCCCUUCUGGCUAGAAUCAAUUGUAAACGAUGACAUGGUUGUAUCCUCUUAA
RNAcentral lists this long non-coding RNA (636 nucleotides) under Prunus dulcis (almond). RNAcentral describes it as "sRNA ncRNA". Lineage: Eukaryota; Viridiplantae; Streptophyta; Magnoliopsida; Rosales; Rosaceae. The record is from RNAcentral.